RNAcentral lists this ribosomal RNA (411 nucleotides) under uncultured bacterium. RNAcentral describes it as "bacterial SSU rRNA". It matches the Rfam family "Bacterial small subunit ribosomal RNA", at positions 508 to 916 of the family's 1533-position model. The record is from RNAcentral.
UCAGCAGCCGCGGUAAUACAGAGGUCUCAAGCGUUGUUCGGAUUCAUUGGGCGUAAAGGGUGCGUAGGUGGCGUGGAAAGUUGAGUGUGAAAUCCUAGGGCUUAACCUUAGAACUGCACUCAAUACUCCCAUGCUAGAGGAAUGUAGAGGAGAGUGGAAUUCACGGUGUAGCAGUGAAAUGCGUAGAUAUCGUGAGGAAGACCAGUUGCGAAGGCGACUCUCUGGGCAUCUCCUGACACUGAGGCACGAAGGCUAGGGGAGCAAACGGGAUUAGAUACCCCGGUAGUCCUAGCAGUAAACGGUGCACGUUUGGUGUGGGCAGGCUCAGACCCUGUCCGUGCCGGAGCUAACGCGUUAAACGUGCCGCCUGGGAAGUACGGUCGCAAGAUUAAAACUCAAAGGAAUUGACGG